Molecule: ribosomal RNA, 400 nt
Filed under: uncultured bacterium
Lineage: Bacteria
Description: bacterial SSU rRNA
Rfam family: Bacterial small subunit ribosomal RNA
Source: RNAcentral
UGAGGAAUAUUGGACAAUGGAGGCAACUCUGAUCCAGCCAUGCCGCGUGAAGGAAGGAGGCCCUAUGGGUCGUGAACUUCUUUUGCCGCAGAGCAAUGAGGGCCACGGGUGGCCCGACGAGAGUAUGCGGCGAAUAAGCAUCGGCUAACUCCGUGCCAGCAGCCGCGGUAAUACGGGGGAUGCGAGCGUUAUCCGGAUUUAUUGGGUUUAAAGGGUGCGUAGGCGGCGCUUCAAGUCUGCGGUGAAACCCCGGGGCUCAACCCCGGGCCUGCCGCGGAUACUGGGGCGCUGGAGUUCGGAUGCCGCGGGAGGAAUGAGUGGUGUAGCGGUGAAAUGCAUAGAUAUCACUCAGAACACCGAUUGCGAAGGCAUCUCGCGAAUCCGACACUGACGCUGAGGC